GUGGGGAAUAUUGCGCAAUGGGGGAAACCCUGACGCAGCAACGCCGCGUGAGUGAUGAAGGCUUUCGAGUCGUAAAACUCUGUCUUUGGGGACGAAUAAUGACGGUACCCUAGGAGGAAGCCCCGGCUAACUACGUGCCAGCAGCCGCGGUAAUACGUAGGGGGCAAGCGUUGUCCGGAAUCACUGGGCGUAAAGGGCGCGUAGGCGGUUUGUUAAGUCAGGUGUGAAAGUUUUCAGCUUAACUGGAAAAGUGCACUUGAAACUAACUUACUUGAGUACUGGAGAGGUAAGCGGAAUUCCUAGUGUAGCGGUGAAAUGCGUAGAUAUUAGGAAGAACACCGGUGGCGAAGGCGGCUUACUGGACAGAGACUGACGCUGAGGCGCGAAAGCGUGGGGAGCGAACAGGAUUAGAUACCCUAGUAGUCC
RNAcentral lists this ribosomal RNA (426 nucleotides) under uncultured bacterium. Its description in RNAcentral is "partial 16S ribosomal RNA". It matches the Rfam family "Bacterial small subunit ribosomal RNA", at positions 354 to 796 of the family's 1533-position model. The record is from RNAcentral.